UUGACCUCAGUUCAGACAAGG
This 21-nucleotide ribosomal RNA is filed under the name Ostreococcus sp. BCC53000. RNAcentral's name for it is "partial 28S ribosomal RNA". Lineage: Eukaryota; Viridiplantae; Chlorophyta; Mamiellophyceae; Mamiellales; Bathycoccaceae. The record is from RNAcentral.